This 1138-nucleotide long non-coding RNA is filed under the name Manihot esculenta (cassava). RNAcentral describes it as "long non-coding RNA (MESC_LNC010928)". The record is from RNAcentral. Lineage: Eukaryota; Viridiplantae; Streptophyta; Magnoliopsida; Malpighiales; Euphorbiaceae.
CUAGAGUAUGUGGACAUGACAAAUGAUAAGAAUGUAAUGUAAAGUCUUGAACAGUUAUGUUUAUGUAAUUAUGUUAUUGAGGAUAGAGUUGUGCUUGACCAUAGUAUAUGUUAAUCCCUUGGUAUGUACAUGAUCUUAUUUUAUGAUGUAUAUGUGAACCAACUCAACACAGGAUAUAUAUAUUGCCCAUUGAGGCUUUGAUGAAAUCCCACAGAGGGAUUAAUGUUUAUGUAUACGAUGAAUACAGUGCAUGCACAGGUUGAGUUUGGUGUAUGAAGAAAAAAAAAAAGUUUUUAAUUCAUAUGUAUGUUUGUUGAUCAUGUAUGGGAUUAAACAGGUAAACAGGAUGUAUGUAGGCUUGCUACGGGUUCCGGCGGCCUUAAGCCGACCUGAAUCCUAGCGCCGGUAGCGGUCCGGAUUUCCGGGGCGUUACAGUCAGAGCUAGCCUGAGGUGAGUAGAAUGACUCUUUAUGUUUCAAAGUAAAUAAUGAAAGUUUUAGCAUGAUUCACGCAUCAUGAAUGCCAUGAGAUAUAUUAGGAUGCUUGCAUUAGAACUCAUGAAUAUGUUGCAUUGCAUAUUAUGUUGUUGAUGUGGAUGAAUGUUGGAUGAUCCUCUAGCCUGCACUAUGAUAUGAUAUGAUAUGAGACAGUGAUGAUACGGUAUGGAAGACUAGUGAGGCCCAUUCUAUGCCCCUGGCACUAUGUAAGAGAAAGACCAGUGAGGCCCAUUCUACGCCCCUGGCAUGUUGGAAUGUUAUGUUAUGUUAAUGUAAGAGAAAGACCAGUGAGGCCCAUUCUACGCCUCUGGCACUAUUAGAAUGUGUAGUGGGCUAUUAGUGACAAGUUCAUCCUUGAUGUGAUUUGUCUGUAAUAUGAUGCAUUCCAUAAUAGCAUAUGUUUUAAAUAUUUUAUUAUUCUGCUCACUGGGCUCUAGUAGCUCACCCCAUUUCCCUUAAUCCCCCAGGUUUGCAGGUACGGGCUAGUCCAGGAGGUCAGCAGGAUUAGAAGCGUUUUAUGUAAUAGUUAGUUGUGGACAUGAGAAUAUUGUGAUGUAAUGUAUUGAAUAGUCAUGUAAUGUUAAGAAUUAUAUUGAGGAUAGAAUUGUGCUUGGCCCUAGUGUAUGUUAAUCCCUUUUUGG